UCUGAUCUCAGAUCAAGCAAGAAGACCCGCCGAAUUUAAGCAUAUAAUUAAGCGGAGGAAAAGAAACUAACCAGGAUUCCCCUAGUAAGGGCGACUGAAGCGGGAAUAGCUCACGAUGUGAAUCAGCGCUGCUYUGUGGCGCCGAAUUGUGGUCUGAAAACGUUUGCAUUACUGGCGGGGCCAAGUCCCUUGGAACAGGGCAGCCGAGAGGGUGAGACUCCCGUGUGCCCUGCCUUUGGAGCGAGCGUUUGACGAGUCGAGUUGUUUGGG
Molecule: ribosomal RNA, 270 nt
Filed under: Sellaphora capitata
Lineage: Eukaryota; Bacillariophyta; Bacillariophyceae; Sellaphorales; Sellaphoraceae
Description: partial 26S ribosomal RNA
Rfam family: Eukaryotic large subunit ribosomal RNA
Source: RNAcentral